This 65-nucleotide transfer RNA is filed under the name Coelioxys fenestratus. RNAcentral describes it as "Coelioxys fenestrata tRNA-Asp". Lineage: Eukaryota; Metazoa; Arthropoda; Insecta; Hymenoptera; Megachilidae. The record is from RNAcentral.
AAAGAAUUAGUUUAAAAAAACAUUAAUAUGUCAAAUUAAAAUUAAUAUUUAAAUAUUAUUCUUUU